Molecule: ribosomal RNA, 253 nt
Filed under: uncultured bacterium
Lineage: Bacteria
Description: partial 16S ribosomal RNA
Rfam family: Bacterial small subunit ribosomal RNA
Source: RNAcentral
UACGUAGGGCGCAAGCGUUGUCCGGAAUUAUUGGGCGUAAAGAGCUCGUAGGCGGCUUGUCACGUCGGGUGUGAAAGCCCGGGGCUCAACCCCGGGAGGCGGGUGGAUACUGCUGGGCUCGAGUCCGGAAGAGGAGUGUGGAAUUCCUGGUGUAGCGGUGGAAUGCGCAGAUAUCAGGAAGAACACCCGUGGCGAAGGCGGCUCUCUGGAGCGCAACUGACGCUGAGACGCGAAAGCGUGGGGAGCAAACAGG